UUUUCGAAAACCGUAUUGAGUUUUUGGCAGUAAGUCUUUAUUUUCUAUGUACCAUUCUAGCCGAUUUUUAAUAAGAUGCUCUGCUAUUUUCAUUAGAACCGGACUGAGAACGAUAGGACGAUAUGAUGAAAUAUCAGACGGAAUUUUACUAGGUUUGAGAAUUGGCAACACCACAUGACGUUUCCACAUCUGAGGAAUGUUUCCUGUUGUCAUUACGGAAUUGAUAAGAGAUAAAUAAUAAGAAUGAACAGUGGGACUAGCAUUAGAUAAAAAUGAGUAUGGGAUGCCAUCGAUACCUGGAGAUGAGUCUACAGUAUUAGAAAGGAUACCUUUCAAUUCCUCAAUAUUGAAAGGGAUUUUUAAUGACGUGUCAUCAGAGGUUAUAUUGGAUUCCACACGAAUUACCGGUUGUAAAGUAACUUCUUGAGGUACCCAGGGAGGAGCUAAUGUAUCUAUAAAUUCACCUGCUAAAUUAUCCGGGAUACGGGAAGUAGUGUGGUCCGAAAAUGCAGACCGGAAUCUCCUAAUAUUACGCCAAACAGCUGAAGGGGGUGUAUUCGGUGAAAUGACAGAGCAAAAAUUAUGCCAACUCUCUCUUUUCUUCAGUUUAUAGAGUUUUCGAGUCUGUGUAAUAAUACUAGAGAGCUGCAGCUGUGCAUUCCGAGUCCCACCACGGAGGCAUUGGGAUCUUCCUAAAUGAAUGAUUAAUUUUUACUGGGAAAGCAUCAUCUGCAGCGGAAACAAGAAUUUUAGCUAAUACUUCUGCACAAUCCUGCUCAUUUCCAUUAUUGACAAUUGGAAGAGAAGAUAGCUGAUUGUCAACAUAAUUUUUAUAAUUUAGCCAAGUGCUGCUCUUACUAUGUGGAAGUUUGUGUUUUAAGUGAGAUAUUCUAGGUUGUGAAUGUGGGAUUGGGAAUGGAAAAGAUAUUUUGAUAGGGAAAUGAUCACUACCAUAUGUUAAGGGAAGGGUGCACCAAGUGAGACGAGAAGCAAAGUUAGGAGUGCAGACAGAUAAAUCUAUUGCGCUAUUGUUCUGACUUGGAUCACUGCGACGUGUGGGGAACCAGAAUUUAAUAUACAUAAAUUAUGUGUAUCAAAUAUAUUGAGUAGUUCUUCCCCAUAGGAGUUAGAAGUUGAACUACCCCAUGACUGGUGAUGGCAGUUAAAAUCACCUAACAGUAUAUAAGGAUUAGUAAGUGUGGAAAGAAUACUGUUAAUUUCAUUAAGUGAAGAAUGAGAAGGGUGAGAUAUAUAUACAGAUAUAAUACAUGUUUUAUUUAUAAUUAUAGCUAUGAUUGAGAUUUCUUCACUGUGUGAUGGUAGAGAAACCACAGUGAAAGGAAUUGAAUCCUUCACAAGUAUAGCUACUCCACCAUAUCCAUCUGGUCUAUCCUCUCUUACUGUUGUAUAACCAUUAAUUUUAAAUAUAUUAUUUGAUUUGAA
Molecule: long non-coding RNA, 1443 nt
Filed under: Manduca sexta (tobacco hornworm)
Lineage: Eukaryota; Metazoa; Arthropoda; Insecta; Lepidoptera; Sphingidae
Description: uncharacterized LOC119189440
Source: RNAcentral